Ribosomal RNA from Carassius auratus (goldfish), 119 nucleotides. The record is from Ensembl. NCBI's taxonomy places the organism in Eukaryota, Metazoa, Chordata, Actinopteri, Cypriniformes, Cyprinidae.
GCUUACGGCCAUACCAACCUGGCUAUGCCCGAUCUCGUCUGAUCUCGGAAGCUAAGCAGGUUUGGGCCUGGUUAGUACUUGGAUGGUAGACCGCCUGGGAAUACCAGGUGCUGUAAGCU